GCAUUAGGGAGGAGGGUCCUGGGGAAGUCAAAGCUUCCACACCUGUUCUCAAAGCCCCUCUGAGGUAUCCCCUCCCAGAUUCCAGAUCAGAGCUGUGAUGGCAUCAAGAAGGAAGUGAGACGCCCCUGGGACACUCCCAGGAGGGAGCAGAGGCUCUGGGGCUCCUGGCAGAUGGGGAAAUUGAGGCUCAGACAGUUACAGGGGCUUGAGUCAGCCACCGUCAAGCUGGCCCCAGGGCUCCUUCUCCUCUCCUGUGCUCGCUCUCAGCCCAGCUGGCUCCUCAGACUUCUCCUGGACAGGGUUGUAAACUCCAGCACUGGUCGACAAUCUCUUCACUGGAGGCAUCUGGCACCUAGAGGACCCUGUGGAAGCCAUGAGGGGU
Molecule: long non-coding RNA, 382 nt
Organism: Homo sapiens (human)
Lineage: Eukaryota; Metazoa; Chordata; Mammalia; Primates; Hominidae
Exons: 4
Source: RefSeq, a predicted model, not a curated record